This 24-nucleotide transfer RNA is filed under the name Phyllodactylus sp. CB-2015. Its description in RNAcentral is "partial tRNA-His". The record is from RNAcentral. Lineage: Eukaryota; Metazoa; Chordata; Lepidosauria; Squamata; Phyllodactylidae.
CAGGUGCGCAUAGUUUAACUAAAA